This 72-nucleotide transfer RNA is filed under the name Bos taurus (domestic cattle). It matches the Rfam family "tRNA". Rfam says of the family: Transfer RNA (tRNA) molecules are approximately 80 nucleotides in length. Their secondary structure includes four short double-helical elements and three loops (D, anti-codon, and T loops). Further hydrogen bonds mediate the characteristic L-shaped molecular structure. tRNAs have two regions of fundamental functional importance: the anti-codon, which is responsible for specific mRNA codon recognition, and the 3' end, to which the tRNAs corresponding amino acid is attached (by aminoacyl-tRNA synthetases). tRNAs cope with the degeneracy of the genetic code in two manners: having more than one tRNA (with a specific anti-codon) for a particular amino acid; and 'wobble' base-pairing, i.e. permitting non-standard base-pairing at the 3rd anti-codon position. RNAcentral also lists the same sequence under 2 other names. The record is from Rfam by way of RNAcentral. Lineage: Eukaryota; Metazoa; Chordata; Mammalia; Artiodactyla; Bovidae.
UCCCUUGUAGCUCAGAUUGUAAAGCACCUUUCUGCAAUGCAGGAGACCCAGGUUCAAUCCCUGGGUUGGGAA